GCAGAUUCUUUCGCUGUGCCCAAUUAGCUGCUGCCGCGCCUUGGAGUCCGGAGUAACUUGGCCAGGCUGGCCCCGAGCGGAACUGGAGAAAGCUGAGGGUGAGGAAUCCGGCUCCGGUCCUUUUGUGUGUGGAGGGCUGAGGAGAGGAGUUUGCGUGUGUGAUUGCCAUGGUUGCCGUGGGUCUUCGUGGUCUGUGACUGUGGCUGCGUGGUGCUGACUCUGGGUGAUCAAGUGGGCGCUUGUGACUGUGCGCGCUCGGAGUGGAUGUGUGUGUCCUGGACGAGCCGCGUUGUGUGUGCGGAUGUGGACAACCGGUGACUGUGUGGUUGGGGCUGCGUGUCCCAGGGUGGAUGUGUGACUUUGCGUGUGUGUGCAGUACUGUGUGUGCGUGAGUUGCAGGUCUGUGGCUGUGCAGGUGCAACUUGUGUGGCCCCGUGGUCUGUGUGAGAGAGGAGAGUGUGACUGGCUGUGAGGCAGAGGGUAAGUGGAUAUAGGGAGGCAUGUGUGUGAUUGGAACUUUGUGUGUCCCCUUGAGAGAAAAAAACCUUUAGGGAGUUAGAGCGGGUCCUUGGUAAAACUCCUUUAAACAGAGAAACAGCCAGAAAAAUCAGGCUGCAGGCACAGAGAAGGAAAACUAGCAAAGGGGGUUGUCCUAAAGACAUUCCUCAGCUGCACUGAUAAGGGACCGAGGCCCAACAUAGAAAUGCCUUUGUCCUUUGUGUGACCAGCGGGCUUCCAGGAAAUAGUCGCUUUUUUGUGGGCAUGUAUACAGUGGGCUCUGUUAGAUUUUGAAGGGAAGGCGAAGGUUAAAGAAAGAGAGUUGGCGGCUCUAUGGAGGGGACCAACUAAAUGCCAGAGCCCACUGCCGCUUACAAGCUGGAGUAAUUAUAGGCCUGGGCAGGAGGGGUCUGGGCAGUAUAGCUUGUUGCCUGGGAGAAUGUUGGUAAGGAUGUUUCUUGGGCCUUUCCCCAGCAGGAUGUGAUAAGGAAGUCAGGCGGUUGGGGAGGAUGUUUCUCGCAGCCCAAACCCCAGUGGAAUGUUUCCCUCUGAACAGGGUCUGUGAAAUGGUGGGGGCUUACAAAUCGGUGCAGCUUGGACUAACAGGCUCCGGCGGCCACUUUGUUUUCUGGACAUGCUUUGGACUGUGAGCCGAGCCUCUAUGAAUCAUCACUUCAGCCUCUGAUUGGUCCUGGGCCAAACUUUCACUUCAGCCCCUGAUUGGUCUUGGGCCAAAAUUUCACUUCAGCCUCUGAUUGGUCCCAGGCUAAGGUCCCGGGCCAAGCGAAGUCGUGCUAUCUCCAAGACAGCUCACAGACCAGUGAGCACAUUCUUCCUCUUCCCAGUUCACAAAACCCCCAGAUUCAGCCUCCUAGUUGGCAACCCUCUUUCGGGUCCCCUCUCUGCUGGGGAGAGCUUUCUUCUUUUGCUUAUUAAACUUCUGUUCCAAACUCA
RNAcentral lists this long non-coding RNA (1452 nucleotides) under Homo sapiens (human). RNAcentral describes it as "family with sequence similarity 182 member A". The record is from RNAcentral. Lineage: Eukaryota; Metazoa; Chordata; Mammalia; Primates; Hominidae.